CACCAGUCACCCCCUCCCUCUGUCACUAGUCACCCUCUCCCUCACUCUGUCUAGAGUGAGUGGGUGACUAGUGACAGAGUGAGGGAGGGAAGGGGUGACAGAGUGAGUGAGGGAAGGGGUGUCUAGUGACAGAGUGAGGGAGGGGGUUAG
Molecule: non-coding RNA, 150 nt
Organism: Pelobates cultripes (western spadefoot toad)
Lineage: Eukaryota; Metazoa; Chordata; Amphibia; Anura; Pelobatidae
Source: the annotation of a GenBank genome assembly